This is a non-coding RNA of Pelodiscus sinensis (Chinese soft-shelled turtle), 2503 nucleotides long. Lineage: Eukaryota; Metazoa; Chordata; Testudines; Trionychidae. The record is from RefSeq and is a predicted model, not a curated record.
AAUUGACAGAUCUGUGUCCAAUGUGUAUAUUACAGCACCAUGAUGCAGACAAACAUAUAACUCUAUGUAGCCUGCAGGAACCUCUCUAUACAAAUGUUUGGCAACGUCUUUGAAUGUUCUCUUAUCCACAGUGUUUCUUCUGAAGUUGUAAGGAACUCUACUUAAAAUUUUGUCUGAGUAAUCAUCACACUGAGGGGUGUCUGAGAAGCCACAUAUUGACUUUGUUAUUGCAUGGGCACACAGAUCUGGUCACUGACCUUCUGCUGAUGUCUUAUGAUCAGCUUUCUAUACAUGGAAUUCUAUUGACUGCACUGAGGAUUUCACAAACAGAGGGUCCUAAGUCUUCUCACAAUGCUUGAUUAAACAUCAAAUACUAAAAUGUGAAGCUAAUACAUUAUGGUGGCCCCAUGCCUUAUUUAUUGUGUACAUGUUCCAGUGCUGCUCUGAAGACUUCCGAGUGGACUGUCGUAUGGUGCUCAUUGUCAUAAUAUGCCCCUCCCUCAUUGACAACACACCUUCCAAAUUCUGCAACAAGCAGGGGCGGAUAUACGGCAGGGCGAACGGGGCGGCCGCCCCGGGCCCCGCGCUUCAGAAAGCCCCGCGCAUGUGCCAUGGUGCGGCUGCGCAUGCGCAUGGCAUCACUGCGCAUGCGCCGUGGCAAAGGGAGGCCCCGUGGAAUUAUGCUGCCCGGGGCCCCGCAAAACGGUCAUCUUCCCCUGGCAACAAGAGAGCCAAGAGUCCUUCAGACAACAAUCCACUUUACUACACAACUCUAGUUCAUCCUCAGAGAAGAUUGAAGUACAUUGAAAGAGAUGAGAAUCCUGUGGAAAAAAAUACCAUGUGACCAUGUAAUUAAAGACUGUAUCAUAAUUAGAGCUGGCUGAAAAAAUUUCAAAACAGUUUUCUGUGGAGAAAAUGCUGAUUCAACAUAAUCAAAACAUUCCACCAGAACAUGUUGAUUCCAUCAGAACUUCUGGCGGAAAUCAGGCAGGCAGGCAGGCUGGCCAGCCGGCUGGCCUUGUUUCCUGCCAGUGUGUCCAGUUCCUAGCUGCCCACUCAUUAGGUUCCCCAUGCUCCCACUCUCCUUGCAUAGUUGGCUCCCCAAAUAGUUGGCUUCCCUGGUUGCCUAUCACAGACAAGCAGGCAGGUGAAUGGAUUGGUAUCUCGUUGCACGGCUGUGUUUCCAGAAUGCUAACUGUCCAGAUGGCCAAUAUUUACAGGUAGACAACACCCUGGACAGCACAGCUGACUUUUCUUUCUGAUUUGGAAUGAAAUUUGGUUUUGACAGGUCACAAUUUUCAGUUCCCACUUACCUCUAAUCAUACAACUUGUGCAUGGGAGCGGGAGGCAAAUUCAGUUUGCACAGGCAACCAUACUUCUGGCAUUUCCCACCCUGAAUGCUUGACUUUACAACAUUAAUGCUCUUUUUUUUAACAUAAUGUCCUACGUUCUAAAAAAGCAAACUUAAAAUGACAGAAAUGCCAUCAAAUAGCAUUGUCUUGCCAUUCACAUGGAUUGUCAGCAACAUUGGAACCUUUAGAUUCACCAUAUAGACCUAUGCUAUUUGAUCUGUGUAACUGAUAACAGUAGAAGACCUAUGCUAUUCCACUGCCCAGCACCAAAUCUUCCAGUGGAGGAAUGAUGAGAUUCAGAAAUAUGGGGAUUCAAUCCUUAUUCUGAAAGGGGUUGUGUGCAGUUUGGGAAAGAUCCUUCUGAAGCCUAACCCUUUCUGUCCCUUCUAUUCCACCUUAUCCUUGUUCCAGUCCUCUCCACCCACUUCUCAUGUGAAUCCCAGUGUCCAUUCCUCAGAUUUCUCAUCCCAGUCCCAGUCUCCUUGCCCAGCCAGUCCUAGUCUUUUCUGCUGUCUUUAUCUCCAAGUCCCAGUAUCCACCUCUCCAGGUCCUCAUCCAGUUUCAUCUCUCCCUCCCCUAUUAUCAGCCUGUCCACCACUGUCUAGAACUGGCAGGGCAAGGAGACUGGGAGCAGUGGAAUACUAGUCUUUCCUAGGUCCCAGUCAGGGCUAGUGACAGGCUUUACCAGGCCCUGGGCAAUAUGAGGGUCUUGGCUCUGGGGCCCCCAGAAGGGCAGAGCCUCAGGCAGAAGGGGUGAGGCUAGUCUCCCCCAGCCAUCCCUCAGUGCGGCCUGGACCAUGCCAUGUGAGGCUCUGGAUCUGGGACUGCAGCCACCUCUCUGUUAGAGAGGUGGGAGAACCAACGCUGCCAUCAGCAGCCCUGGCCCCUGUACAAGCUCUUUCUCUAGCUAGUUCCAGCUGCUUCCCACAAGUCCAAGUCAGUUCCUAACCCUAUCAGGCACGACGUCCCAAUAUACUCUCUCCUUGACUCUACCCUUACCUACCCCAGGUGCAGCUGUUCUCCCCUUUGCAUAUAAAUCAGGUUAUUUCCUCUGCAGUGCCUUAGAGCUAGCAGGGUGGCCAUUAUGGAUACAGGAAAGAGUCUUCCUGAUCUCAGUUCAUGUGCCUGGUACCACAGUGACCCUCAGCAGG